UACGUAGGGUGCAAGCGUUGUCCGGAAUUAUUGGGCGUAAAGAGCUCGUAGGCGGUCUGUUGCGUCGGCUGUGAAAACCCGGGGCUCAACUCCGGGCCUGCAGCCGAUACGGGCAGACUAGAGUUCGGCAGGGGAGACUGGAAUUCCUGGUGUAGCGGUGAAAUGCGUAGAUAUCAGGAAGAACACCCGUGGCGAAGGCGGUUCUCUGGGACGGUACUGACGCUGAGACGCGAAAGCGUGGGGAGCGAACAGG
This 253-nucleotide ribosomal RNA is filed under the name uncultured bacterium. RNAcentral's name for it is "partial 16S ribosomal RNA". It matches the Rfam family "Bacterial small subunit ribosomal RNA", at positions 524 to 776 of the family's 1533-position model. The record is from RNAcentral.